AAUGGUUCAAUAGGGUCGGCAUGAGAGCACAUGUGAUUUUUUUUUUAAAAAAAAAAUAAUGCAUCAUGUGUUCUCAGGUCGCCCCUGUAGAUCCAUU
This 97-nucleotide microRNA precursor is filed under the name Ipomoea nil (Japanese morning glory). RNAcentral describes it as "MIR398 microRNA precursor family". It matches the Rfam family "MIR398 microRNA precursor family". The record is from Rfam by way of RNAcentral. Lineage: Eukaryota; Viridiplantae; Streptophyta; Magnoliopsida; Solanales; Convolvulaceae.